RNAcentral lists this long non-coding RNA (340 nucleotides) under Sorghum bicolor (sorghum). RNAcentral describes it as "long non-coding RNA (SBIC_LNC013248)". The record is from RNAcentral. Lineage: Eukaryota; Viridiplantae; Streptophyta; Magnoliopsida; Poales; Poaceae.
CGUUCUUGCCUUCUUGAUCGGACGUGGAGGGAGCGGCGGCGGCUCAUGUACGAGCCUGCGUCUCCUCUUCGUUUUCGUUCUUGCCUUCUUGGUCGGAGGUGGAGGAGGGGGCGACGUCGACGGCAGCGGCAGCGGCCCGGCCGCCGCCUCGCCGUCGUCGUCGUCGUCAUCCGCAAUGCAAGACGGCCACGGCGGGGACGACAUCCUUUUCUUGCCGGCCUGCAGGUCGUCCGAGCGUGGGCUCGAGAACUGCAUCGAUGCCUGCUGCUCCUGCUGCUCGGGCGCGGCACAGAGCGCCUGGAGCGCCUCGUCGCAGAACAGUGCCUGAAUUUCCUCGUCG